This 216-nucleotide ribosomal RNA is filed under the name Glomeromycotina sp. RNAcentral's name for it is "partial small subunit ribosomal RNA". The stretch from base 40 to 216 matches the Rfam family "Eukaryotic small subunit ribosomal RNA", at positions 686 to 864 of the family's 1831-position model. The record is from RNAcentral. Lineage: Eukaryota; Fungi; Glomeromycota.
GGGUCAUUAGGUUGGUCGUGCCACCGGUACGUACUGGUCUCACUGAUUCCUCCUUCCUGAAGAACCGUAAUGCCAUUAAUUUGGUGUUGCGGGGAAACAGGACUGUUACUUUGAAAAAAUGAGAGUGUUUAAAGCAAGCUAAAGCUUGAAUACAUUAGCAUGGAAUAAUGAAAUAGGACGAUCGAUCCUAUUUUGUUGGCUUCUAGGAUUGACGUA